This 427-nucleotide ribosomal RNA is filed under the name uncultured Gammaproteobacteria bacterium. Its description in RNAcentral is "bacterial SSU rRNA". It matches the Rfam family "Bacterial small subunit ribosomal RNA", at positions 355 to 774 of the family's 1533-position model. Lineage: Bacteria; Pseudomonadati; Pseudomonadota; Gammaproteobacteria. The record is from RNAcentral.
UGGGGAAUAUUGCACAAUGGGCGAAAGCCUGAUGCAGCCAUGCCGCGUGUGUGAAGAAGGCUCUAGGGUUGUAAAGCACUUUCAAUGAGGAGGAACGGUUUGUAGUUAAUACCUGCAAGCUUUGACGUUACUCAUAGAAGAAGCACCGGCUAACUCCGUGCCAGCAGCCGCGGUAAUACGGAGGGUGCAAGCGUUAAUCGGAAUUACUGGGCGUAAAGCGCGCGUAGGUGGAUGAUUAAGUUGGAUGUGAAAGCCCAGGGCUUAACCUUGGAAUUGCAUUCAAUACUGGUCAUCUAGAGUACAGUAGAGGAGGGUAGAAUUUCUUGUGUAGCAGUGAAAUGCGUAGAUAUAAGAAGGAAUACCAGUGGCGAAGGCGGCCCUCUGGACUGAUACUGACGCUGAGGUGCGAAAGCGUGGGGAGCAAACG